AACUCCCGACCCGGUAAACCCCAGCGAGGAGCCGGUAUCCAGCCUUGGAGCCGGAGCCGUGAGGUCAGGUUUAAGCGUAGGCAGGAAAGAUUCAGAGCCCUAAAAUGAAAGCUUGAAUCAAUUUAGCGUCGUUAGUACUGACAAAGCGAUGGGCGAUACUCUCAUAUAAGUCGCAGCCAGCAUAAGUCGUUCGUUAGCGCGAGAGCGGCAAGGCAUCGCCGGCGUUUGAA
This 230-nucleotide non-coding RNA is filed under the name uncultured Bulleidia sp. Lineage: Bacteria; Bacillati; Bacillota; Erysipelotrichia; Erysipelotrichales; Erysipelotrichaceae. The record is from RNAcentral.